AUUAUAUUUGUCUUUAUACCAAUGCAGUUAUAAAAUAUAAUUUUCAGUGUUUUUUUUUUUUUAAGGAAAGAGGGGCCCCUAAAGGCAAAGGUGCCCAGAGCUCACAAAAGUCACAGUGCAGACCUGAGCAAAGGAAGGGGUGCUAUGGACUGAAUUUGUAUCUCCCAAAAAUCCGUACGUUGAAGCCCUGUUCCCCAGUGUGAUGGUAUUGGAGACAGGACUUUUAGGAGCUAACUAAGGUAAGUGAGGUCCUAAGGGUGGGGCCUUAAUCUGAUAGGAUUGGUGGUCUUAGAAGAAGAGGAAGAAGAAGAGAGAGCUCUCUCUCUCUCUUCACACACAUGCACUAAGGAAAGUCUGUGUGAGCACACAGCAAGAAGCUGGCCGUCUACAAGCUAGGAAGAGAACCUUCACCAGAAAGUGACCUGGCUGGCAUCUUGGUCUUGGCCUUCUGAGCCUCCAGCACUGUGAGAUACUAAUUCCCGUUGUUUAAGCCACCUAGUCUGUGGUAUUUUGUUAGGGCAGCCUGAGCUGACUAGUACACAGGGAAAAAGUGAAAAAAGUAAGCAAGGUGAAGAAGUGCCAGGUCCAUGAGCAACUGGCUCAGAUAUCACCCGGUGAGCCAGCUGCGUCCUAGUACCCCAGAGCCCAGCUCUCUCUUCAUCUUCUAUGAUUGAACUCCAGUCUUCAAUCAGAAACCAGGCAAGCCGGCAAUCUGUGCAGUAGAGAGACAUUCUUUUUUCUUUGCCCACUUGAAUCACUGCAUACUUUGAAGUUUCCAAGGCAGCCGAAGGAAAAAAAAAGCUUCUAUACCAGGCAAUACAUUACAGCAGUGUUCUUGAAUUUGAGCGUGCACUGGAACCGCCUGGAGCGCUUGUUAAAACACAACCGGCUGGGCCCAUGCCCAGAGUUUCUGAUUCAGUGGAUCUAGGCUGGAGCCUGAGAAUUUGCGUUUCUAACAAGUUCCCAGGCGAUGCUGCUGCUGCUGGUUCAGGGACGACACUGUUGAAUGCAGGACCCCUGCAUUAAAGCAUACUACUUUAUCUCAGCGGAACCACCAGGAGCAGGAGAGCACACAGGUGAAUGAGGGCCAGGAGGUCAUCAAGGAAAAUCUAGGGCUGAAGAUCUAGAGGAAAUCCCAAUAGUUUCAGUGCCGAGCCGGCCAGUUGGCCAUCACAGGGCUGAGAAGGUGCAGAGGCAAGACAGUAACUGCUCUGGUAGAGUAGGG
This 1225-nucleotide long non-coding RNA is filed under the name Equus asinus (donkey). Its description in RNAcentral is "lncRNA (ENSEASG00005033695.1)". The record is from RNAcentral. Lineage: Eukaryota; Metazoa; Chordata; Mammalia; Perissodactyla; Equidae.